GCUUCCUUGGGUGACUGAACUGGUGGCCAUUGUUGUUUUGGUGUCCGCGGUGGGCAAGGCGGUGCAGCUGCUUCGUAGACGGAAAUAGGAAGUAUUUCAUCAAGUAGUAACGGGAUUUUGACUGCCCCACCUGAAGAAGCUGCAAGUGCUGCCCUGUUGUCCGCCGCAGGCCAGCGGCUUCCUCAUGUAAACUCCGCCAUCCAGGGAACUUUUUCUGUCCCUUGACCAACUGACACACACAUCACCUCGUUACAUGAUGGCGGUCAACGUGGUGUUCCCGCUCCUCAUUCCGCUGGAGGAGGACCUUCAUAACA
Long non-coding RNA from Scylla paramamosain (green mud crab), 314 nucleotides. RefSeq lists it as uncharacterized. NCBI's taxonomy places the organism in Eukaryota, Metazoa, Arthropoda, Malacostraca, Decapoda, Portunidae. The record is from RefSeq and is a predicted model, not a curated record. The transcript is spliced from 4 exons.